GGGGGCGAAGAGGGCUCGACGGGGGUGUGUAGGCCUAAACGGCGUGCCGAGGUCCCCACCGCCUCGUAAAAAAGGUGGGAAAAACACAAGUGCCGACGAAUACGCUUACGCUCUGGCGGCCUAAAAAAUAGAGCCGCCCGCUCCGGAUGAGCCUUCGGCCCGCGGGGCCUCCGGAGCGCCGGGUUAGCGGGCUGGAUGGAAGGGAGUGCCUGCCUCCCUUCCAUCGAGAGUCCAGCAGGCUGGGCGAGGAGGAAGCGCCCGGGUCUUUCUCCUCGUCGAGAUCGACUACCCGGGCUACGCACGUAGAAGUUUAGGCUGAAGCACCUCCGGACGCGGGUUCGAUUCCCGCCGCCUCCACCA
Molecule: non-coding RNA, 360 nt
Organism: Thermosulfurimonas dismutans
Lineage: Bacteria; Pseudomonadati; Thermodesulfobacteriota; Thermodesulfobacteria; Thermodesulfobacteriales; Thermodesulfobacteriaceae
Source: Rfam